Long non-coding RNA from Chenopodium quinoa (quinoa), 548 nucleotides. RefSeq lists it as uncharacterized. Lineage: Eukaryota; Viridiplantae; Streptophyta; Magnoliopsida; Caryophyllales; Amaranthaceae. The record is from RefSeq and is a predicted model, not a curated record. The transcript has 3 exons.
UCAGUAAUUAGUUAAUUACUAGUAGUAGUUUCCAAACUUUCUACUACUCAUUCACAAAGAAAAACAAAAACCCUAAAGGCCUAGACACUUACUCCAUCUAGCCGCUACUGUACGCACUCAACCCUCCUUCAAAAUUUUCUCAAAUCUCUUUUCUAUUAUUGAAGAAGGAAGUAGAGAUCAAGAUCGACAAUUUUGACAAAGAACAAGCUUUUAAUAUAUGGCAGAAUAACUUUGGAGAAGAAGAACCAAAAGAAAUCAUUCUUCCAAUUUCCUAAUACUGAGGAUAUUGGAGAAGAUUGCAGGAAGAAUUUGCAACAAAGACAAAGUGAAGAAAAGAAUGAUUCCCUGUAUUCAUUUUCUUUGGUUACUUUGUUUGAUGUUCUAAUUGUUUGUCGUGUAAGAACUUGAAUUUGUAAUACGUAGUACAAUUUUUCUGUUAGAUUUUAUUUGGUAGUUUUUAAAAAAUUAUAAAUGCAAAAAAUAAGUAGUUUUUAUUAGAUGAAAAUAUUAGAUAGUUAAGUUACAAUUAAAAAAACAGAAAAAUUAAA